This 442-nucleotide ribosomal RNA is filed under the name uncultured bacterium. RNAcentral's name for it is "partial 16S ribosomal RNA". It matches the Rfam family "Bacterial small subunit ribosomal RNA", at positions 338 to 795 of the family's 1533-position model. The record is from RNAcentral.
CCUACGGGGGGCAGCAGUGGGGAAUAUUGGGCAAUGGACGCAAGUCUGACCCAGCAACGCCGCGUGCAGGAAGAAGGCUUUCGGGUUGUAAAGUUCUUUUAAGGGGGAAGAGCAGAUGACGGUGCCCCUUGAAUCAGCCACGGCUAACUCCGUGCCAGCAGCCGCGGUAAUACGGAGGUGGCAAGCGUUGUCCGGAUUUACUGGGGGUAAAGGGCGUGCAGCCGGGGAGAUAAAGCAGAUGUGAAAUCCACGGGCUCAACCCGUGAACUGCAUUUGAAACUGUUUCCCUUGAGUGUCGGAGAGGUAAGCGGAAUUCCUUGUGUAGCGGUGAAAUGCGUAGAUAUAAGGAAGAACACCAGUGGCGAAGGCGGAUUACUGGACGAUAACUGACGGUGAGGCGCGAAAGCGUGGGGAGCAAACAGGAUUAGAUACCCCUGUAGUC